RNAcentral lists this ribosomal RNA (251 nucleotides) under uncultured bacterium. Its description in RNAcentral is "partial 16S ribosomal RNA". It matches the Rfam family "Bacterial small subunit ribosomal RNA", at positions 524 to 776 of the family's 1533-position model. The record is from RNAcentral.
UACAGAGGUGGCAAGCGUUGUUCGGAAUUACUGGGCGUAAAGGGCGCGUAGGCGGCCUUCUAAGUCAGACGUGAAAUCCCCCGGCUUAACCUGGGAACUGCGUCUGAUACUGGAGGGCUUGAGUAUGGGAGAGGGAUGUAGAAUUCCAGGUGUAGCGGUGAAAUGCGUAGAUAUCUGGAGGAAUACCGGUGGCGAAGGCGCAUCCUGGACCAUACUGACGCUGAGGAGCGAAAGCCAGGGGAGCAAACGGG